GAUAUACUCCCUCCGUCUGGAAAUACUUGUUCGAGGAAUGAAUGUAUCUAUAUGUAUUUUAGUUUUAGAUGCAUCCAUUCUUAUCCAUUUUCACGAUAAGUAUUUUCAAACAGAGGGAGUACUAU
Non-coding RNA from Triticum aestivum (bread wheat), 125 nucleotides. The record is from Rfam. NCBI's taxonomy places the organism in Eukaryota, Viridiplantae, Streptophyta, Magnoliopsida, Poales, Poaceae.